GUCCUACGGGAGGCAGCAGUGGGGAAUAUUGCACAAUGGGGGAAACCCUGAUGCAGCGACGCCGCGUGAAGGAAGAAGUAUUUCGGUAUGUAAACUUCUAUCAGCAGGGAAGAAAAUGACGGUACCUGACUAAGAAGCCCCGGCUAACUACGUGCCAGCAGCCGCGGUAAUACGUAGGGGGCAAGCGUUAUCCGGAUUUACUGGGUGUAAAGGGAGCGUAGGCGGUAAGGCAAGUCUGAUGUGAAAGGCCAGGGCUCAACCCUGGGACUGCAUUGGAAACUGUUUAACUGGAGUGUCGGAGAGGG
This 305-nucleotide ribosomal RNA is filed under the name uncultured bacterium. RNAcentral describes it as "bacterial SSU rRNA". It matches the Rfam family "Bacterial small subunit ribosomal RNA", at positions 335 to 658 of the family's 1533-position model. The record is from RNAcentral.